CAGUAGCCACGGUAAUACAGCGGGUGCGAGCGUUAAUCGGAUUUACUGGGCGUAAAGCGUGCGUAGGCGGCUUUUUAAGUCGGAUGUGAAAUCCCUGAGCUUAACUUAGGAAUUGCAUUCGAUACUGGGAAGCUAGAGUAUGGGAGAGGAUGGUAGAAUUCCAGGUGUAGCGGUGAAAUGCGUAGAGAUCUGGAGGAAUACCGAUGGCGAAGGCAGCCAUCUGGCCUAAUACUGACGCUGAGGUACGAAAGCAUGGGGAGCAAACAGGAUUAGAUACCCCAGUAGUCCCUGUCUCUUAUAC
This 301-nucleotide ribosomal RNA is filed under the name uncultured bacterium. Its description in RNAcentral is "partial 16S ribosomal RNA". It matches the Rfam family "Bacterial small subunit ribosomal RNA", at positions 509 to 807 of the family's 1533-position model. The record is from RNAcentral.